GACGAACGCUGGCGGCGUGCUUAACACAUGCAAGUCGAACGGAAAGGCCCUGCUUGCAGGGUACUCGAGUGGCGAACGGGUGAGUAACACGUGGGUGAUCUGCCCUGCACUUCGGGAUAAGCCUGGGAAACUGGGUCUAAUACCGGAUAGGAGCCGUUUUUAGUGUGAUGGUUGGAAAGUUUUUUCGGUGUAGGAUGAGCUCGCGGCCUAUCAGCUUGUUGGUGGGGUAAUGGCCUACCAAGGCGGCGACGGGUAGCCGGCCUGAGAGGGUGGACGGCCACAUUGGGACUGAGAUACGGCCCAGACUCCUACGGGAGGCAGCAGUGGGGAAUAUUGCACAAUGGGCGCAAGCCUGAUGCAGCGACGCCGCGUGGGGGAUGACGGCCUUCGGGUUGUAAACUCCUUUCGCUAGGGACGAAGCUUUUUGUGACGGUACCUAGAUAAGAAGCACCGGCUAACUACGUG
RNAcentral lists this ribosomal RNA (465 nucleotides) under uncultured bacterium. Its description in RNAcentral is "partial 16S ribosomal RNA". It matches the Rfam family "Bacterial small subunit ribosomal RNA", at positions 28 to 507 of the family's 1533-position model. The record is from RNAcentral.